GGAAGUAAAAGUCGUAACAAGGUAGCCGUAGGUGAACCUGCGGAAGGAUCAUUACCUAGAGUUGUAGGCUUUGCCUGCUAUCUCUUACCCAUGUCUUUUGAGUACCUUACGUUUCCUCGGUGGGUUCGCCCACCGAUUGGACAAAUUUAAACCCUUUGCAGUUGAAAUCAGCGUCUGAAAAAACUUAAUAGUUACAACUUUCAACAACGGGUCUCUUGGUUCUGGCAUCGAUGAAGAACGCAGCGAAGUGCGAUAAGUAGUGUGAAUUGCAGAAUUCAGUGAAUCAUCGAAUCUUUGAACGCACAUUGCGCCCCUUGGUAUUCCAUGGGGCAUGCCUGUUCGAGCGUCAUUUGUACCUUCAAGCUCUGCUUGGUGUUGGGUGUUUGUCUCCUGUAGACUCGCCUUAAAACAAUUGGCAGCCGGCGUAUUGAUUUCGGAGCGCAGUACAUCUCGCGCUUUGCACUCAUAACGACGACAUCCAAAAGUACAUUUUUACACUCCUGACCUCGGAUCAGGUAGGGAUACCCGCUGAACUUAAGCAUAUCAAUAAGCGGAGGAA
Molecule: ribosomal RNA, 559 nt
Filed under: uncultured fungus
Lineage: Eukaryota; Fungi
Description: eukaryotic LSU rRNA
Rfam family: 5.8S ribosomal RNA (bases 196-349)
Source: RNAcentral